Molecule: non-coding RNA, 29 nt
Filed under: Mus musculus (house mouse)
Lineage: Eukaryota; Metazoa; Chordata; Mammalia; Rodentia; Muridae
Source: RNAcentral
UGAAUGGUGUUGUUUCUGACCCAUGAAGC